GAUGAACGCUAGCUACAGGCUUAACACAUGCAAGUCGCGGGGCAGCAUGGGGGUUGCUUGCAAUCCCCGAUGGCGACCGGCGCACGGGUGAGUAACGCGUAUCCAACCUGCCCUUCACCACGGGAUAACCCGGCGAAAGUCGGACUAAUACCGUAUGUUGUCCAUUGACGGCAUCCGAUUUGGACGAAAGGUUUGGCGGUGAAGGAUGGGGAUGCGUCCGAUUAGCUGGACGGCGGGGUGACGGCCCAGCGUGGCGACGAUCGGUAGGGGUUCUGAGAGGAAGGUCCCCCACACUGGAACUGCGACACGGUCCCGACUCCUACGGGAGGCAGCAGUGAGGAAUAUUGGGCACUGGGCGUAAGCCUGAACCAGCCAAGUAGCGUGCAGGAUGACGGCCAUAUGGGUUGUAAACUGCUUUUAUGCGGGGAUAAAGUGGCCCACGUGUGGGUUUUUGCAGGUACCGCAUGAAUAAGGACCGGCUAAUUCCGUG
This 490-nucleotide ribosomal RNA is filed under the name uncultured bacterium. RNAcentral describes it as "partial 16S ribosomal RNA". It matches the Rfam family "Bacterial small subunit ribosomal RNA", at positions 28 to 507 of the family's 1533-position model. The record is from RNAcentral.